RNAcentral lists this ribosomal RNA (1387 nucleotides) under uncultured bacterium. RNAcentral's name for it is "partial 16S ribosomal RNA". It matches the Rfam family "Bacterial small subunit ribosomal RNA". The record is from RNAcentral.
AGAGUUUGAUCCUGGCUCAGGAUGAACGCUGGCGGCGUGCUUAACACAUGCAAGUCGAACGGAAAUGAUGCGCUGAUGCGAUUUCGAUCAAAUCUUGUAUCAUUUUAGUGGCGGACGGCUGAGUAACGCGUGGGUAACCUGCCUUACACUGGGGGAUAACACUUAGAAAUAGGUGCUAAUACCGCAUAAGCGCACGAGACCGCAUGGUUUUGUGUGAAAAACUCCGGUGGUGUAAGAUGGACCCGCGUCUGAUUAGCUAGUUGGCGGGGUAACGGCCCACCAAGGCGACGAUCAGUAGCCGGCCUGAGAGGGUGGACGGCCACAUUGGGACUGAGACACGGCCCAAACUCCUACGGGAGGCAGCAGUGGGGAAUAUUGCACAAUGGGGGAAACCCUGAUGCAGCGACGCCGCGUGAGUGAAGAAGUAAUUCGUUAUGUAAAGCUCUAUCAGCAGGGAAGAAAAUGACGGUACCUGAGUAAGAAGCCCCGGCUAACUACGUGCCAGCAGCCGCGGUAAUACGUAGGGGGCAAGCGUUAUCCGGAUUUACUGGGUGUAAAGGGAGCGUAGACGGCAGUGCAAGUCUGGAGUGAAAGGCGGGGGCUCAACCCCCGGACUGCUCUGGAAACUGUACGGCUGGAGUGCAGGAGAGGUAAGUGGAAUUCCUAGUGUAGCGGUGAAAUGCGUAGAUAUUAGGAGGAACACCAGUGGCGAAGGCGGCUUACUGGACUGUAACUGACGUUGAGGCUCGAAAGCGUGGGGAGCAAAUAGGAUUAGAUACCCUAGUAGUCCACGCCGUAAACGAUGAGGACCAAGUGUUGGGGGUGAAACCUCAGUGCUGAAGUUAACGCAGUGAGUCCUCCGCCUGGGGAGUAUGCACGCAAGUGUGAAACUCAAAGGAAUUGACGGGGGCCCGCACAAGCGGAGGAACAUGUGGUUUAAUUCGAUGAUACGCGAGGAACCUUACCCGGGCUCAAACGGGAGUGGAAUGGACCAGAGACGGUUCAGCCUACGGGCCGCUUCCGAGGUGCUGCAUGGUUGUCGUCAGCUCGUGCCGUGAGGUGUCGGCUUAAGUGCCAUAACGAGCGCAACCCCCGCCGGCAGUUGCUAACGGGCAAUGCCGAGGACUCUGCCGGGACUGCCGCCGCAAGGCGUGAGGAAGGCGGGGAUGACGUCAAACCAGCACGGCCCUUACGUCCGGGGCGACACACGUGUUACAAUGGGCGGUACAGCGGGAAGCCAGGCGGCGACGCCGAGCGGAACCCGAAAGCCGUUCUCAGUUCGGAUCGGAGUCUGCAACCCGACUCCGUGAAGCUGGAUUCGCUAGUAAUCGCGCAUCAGCCAUGGCGCGGUGAAUACGUUCCCGGGCCUUGUACACACCGCCCGUCA